AGAAUCAACGCUGGCGGCGUGCCUAACACAUGCAAGUCGAACGAGAAAGUGGAGCAAUCCAUGAGUAAAGUGGCGCACGGGUGAGUAACACGUGAAUCAUCUACCUCCGAGUGGGGAAUAACCUAGAGAAAUCUGGGCUAAUACCGCAUAACACUUACGAGUCAAAGCAGCAAUGCGCUUGGAGAGGAGUUCGCGGCCGAUUAGUUAGUUGGCGGGGUAAUGGCCCACAAGACGAUGAUCGGUA
RNAcentral lists this ribosomal RNA (244 nucleotides) under uncultured bacterium. RNAcentral's name for it is "partial small subunit ribosomal RNA". It matches the Rfam family "Bacterial small subunit ribosomal RNA", at positions 26 to 285 of the family's 1533-position model. The record is from RNAcentral.